RNAcentral lists this ribosomal RNA (397 nucleotides) under uncultured bacterium. RNAcentral's name for it is "partial 16S ribosomal RNA". It matches the Rfam family "Bacterial small subunit ribosomal RNA", at positions 523 to 918 of the family's 1533-position model. The record is from RNAcentral.
AUACGAAGGGUGCAAGCGUUACUCGGAAUUACUGGGCGUAAAGCGUGCGUAGGUGGUUGUUUAAGUCUGUCGUGAAAGCCCUGGGCUCAACCUGGGAAUGGCGAUGGAAACUGGGCGACUAGAGUGUGGCAGAGGGUAGUGGAAUUCCUGGUGUAGCAGUGAAAUGCGUAGAGAUCAGGAGGAACAUCCGUGGCGAAGGCGACUGCCUGGGCCAACACUGACACUGAGGCACGAAAGCGUGGGGAGCAAACAGGAUUAGAUACCUUGGUAGUCCACGCCCUAAACGAUGCGAACUGGAUGUUGGGUGCAAUUUGGCACGCAGUAUCGAAGCUAACGCGUUAAGUUCGCCGCCUGGGGAGUACGGUCGCAAGACUGAAACUCAAAUGAAUUGACGGGG